This is a long non-coding RNA of Folsomia candida, 401 nucleotides long. RefSeq lists it as uncharacterized. The record is from RefSeq and is a predicted model, not a curated record. The transcript is spliced from 2 exons. NCBI's taxonomy places the organism in Eukaryota, Metazoa, Arthropoda, Collembola, Entomobryomorpha, Isotomidae.
CUGAACGUGUAACAUCAAGUCGGAAUCAAAUUUAUUAUUACGUUUUCAUUGUGAAAAUGCUGUUUUUUGGGUUUGUUUUCCUUAUCCCCAUCAUUUUGGUACAGGGUGAGACGGCAUCUCCGAAUCCUACCAAUGGUCUUCAGGCCAUAUUUGACAAAAUUUCUAAAUACGUUGUGGAAAUGGAGACCAUCGCUCUGUGCUUUUUGGUUGGGAUUAUCAUUUUAAUACUUUCCCUUAGUUUCGUGAUCGUUCGAACGUGGCAACUCACUUAACGUAACACUCGUUUGACGAAGGAGAUGGCGCGAGAGCUUAACCUACUGUAACAAGAUAUUGAUUAAAACCAACAUUUAAAGUUCAUAAAUUUUGGAUGAUAAAUAAAUUUUUACACCUGUUUAUAUAUA